Molecule: small nucleolar RNA, 95 nt
Filed under: Propithecus coquereli (Coquerel's sifaka)
Lineage: Eukaryota; Metazoa; Chordata; Mammalia; Primates; Indriidae
Description: Small nucleolar RNA SNORA40 (ENSPCOG00000007378.1)
Rfam family: Small nucleolar RNA SNORA40
About the family: The snoRNA ACA 40 belongs to the H/ACA family of snoRNAs and guides the pseudouridylation of 28S rRNA subunit at position U4565. NB This family has a high threshold value to exclude a large number of closely related sequences that do not appear to have conserved H and ACA boxes, and may be pseudogenes.
Source: Rfam by way of RNAcentral
UGCACAUCCUUAGACAGGUGCAAAAAAUAAAGCCUCUUUUGUAACCCAGAGCUCAUUGUUCAGUAUGAGUUUUGAUACAUCUAAGAAGGAAUAUU